UACGUAGGGUGCGAGCGUUAAUCGGAAUUACUGGGCGUAAAGUGUGCGCAGGUGGCCGCGCAAGUCGAGUGUGAAAUCCCCGAGCUUAACUUGAGAAUUGCGCUCGAAACUACGUGGCUCGAGUGUGGCAGAGGAAGGUGGAAUUCCACGUGUAGCGGUGAAAUGCGUAGAGAUGUGGAGGAACACCGAUGGCGAAGGCAGCCUUCUGGGCCAACACUGACGCUCAUGCACGAAAGCGUGGGGAGCAUACAGG
RNAcentral lists this ribosomal RNA (253 nucleotides) under uncultured bacterium. RNAcentral describes it as "partial 16S ribosomal RNA". It matches the Rfam family "Bacterial small subunit ribosomal RNA", at positions 524 to 776 of the family's 1533-position model. The record is from RNAcentral.